This 433-nucleotide ribosomal RNA is filed under the name uncultured bacterium. Its description in RNAcentral is "partial 16S ribosomal RNA". It matches the Rfam family "Bacterial small subunit ribosomal RNA", at positions 28 to 507 of the family's 1533-position model. The record is from RNAcentral.
GACGAACGCUGGCGGCAUGCCUAACACAUGCAAGUCGAACGAGAACUUCGGGUCUAGUGGCGCACGGGUGCGUAACGCGUGGGAACCUGCCCUUAGGUUCGGAAUAACUCCCCGAAAGGGGUGCUAAUACCGGAUAAUGUCUUCGGACCAAAGAUUUAUCGACUUUGGAUGGGCCAGCGUUGGAUUAGCUAGUUGGUAGGGUAAAAGACUACCAAGGCGACGAUCGAUAGCUGGUCUGUGAGAAUGGUCAGCGACACUGGGACUGAGACACGGCCCAGAAUCUUACGCGAUGGAGGAGUGGCGAAUAGAGGAAAAUGGGCUAAAGGCUGAACGUGCUAUGCCGGGAAAGUUAUGAAAUCCGGAAAGAAGAAAUGUGCAUGUACCCGUGAUGAUAAUGACAGUACCGGGAGAAUAAGCUCCGGCUAACUCCGUG